This 627-nucleotide ribosomal RNA is filed under the name Triticum aestivum (bread wheat). Its description in RNAcentral is "partial small subunit ribosomal RNA". Lineage: Eukaryota; Viridiplantae; Streptophyta; Magnoliopsida; Poales; Poaceae. The record is from RNAcentral.
AUGAGGCAGUCGAGGUUCAAGAGGAUCUGCGUCUUCUGCGGCAGUAGCCAGGGCAAGAAGAGGAGCUACCAUGACGCCGCCAUUGAGCUCGGCAACGAGCUGGUUGCGAGGGGCGUGGACCUGGUGUACGGCGGGGGAAGCAUCGGGCUCAUGGGCAUGGUGUCCCAGGCGGUGCACGACGGCGGCAGGCACGUCAUAGGUGUCAUUCCCAAGACCCUCAUGACCCCAGAGAUAAGCGGUGAGACGGUGGGGGAGGUGAGGGCAGUGGCGGACAUGCAUCAGAGGAAGGCAGAGAUGGCAAGGCACUCUGACGCCUUCAUAGCCCUGCCUGGAGGAUAUGGUACCCUGGAGGAGCUGCUCGAAGUGAUUACAUGGGCGCAGCUCGGCAUCCAUCACAAGCCGGUUGGGCUGCUGAACGUGGACGGGUACUACAACUCGCUGCUGACCUUCAUCGACAAGGCCGUGGAGGAAGGGUUCAUCAACACCAGCGCGCGCCGCAUCAUCGUGCUCGCCCCCACGGCGGAGGAGCUCAUGGAGAAGCUCGAGGACUACGUGCCUUACCACGACAGGGUGGCGUCGAAGCUCAACUGGGACAUAGCGGCGGAGAUAGGGCACCUAGGGUACUGA